This 253-nucleotide ribosomal RNA is filed under the name uncultured bacterium. RNAcentral describes it as "partial 16S ribosomal RNA". It matches the Rfam family "Bacterial small subunit ribosomal RNA", at positions 524 to 776 of the family's 1533-position model. The record is from RNAcentral.
UACAGAGGGUGCGAGCGUUAAUCGGAAUUACUGGGCGUAAAGCGUGCGUAGACGGUUAUUUAAGUCGGGUGUGAAAGCCCCGGGCUCAACCUGGGAAUUGCAUUCGAGACUGAAUAGCUAGGGUACGGUAAAGGGAAGUGGAAUUUCCGGUGUAGCGGUGAAAUGCGUAGAUAUCGGAAGGAACAUCAGUGGCGAAAGCGACUUCCUGGACCAGUACCGACGUUCAGGCACGAAAGCGUGGGGAGCAAACAGG